UGUUUCGGCUAGGGGGCCAUCCCGGCUUACCAACCCGAUGCAAACUGCGAAUACCGGAGAAUGUUAUCACGGGAGACACACGGCGGGUGCUAACGUCCGUCGUGAAGAGGGAAACAACCCAGACCGCCAGCUAAGGUCCCAAAGUCAUGGUUAAGUGGGAAACGAUGUGGGAAGGCCCAGACAGCCAGGAUGUUGGCUUAGAAGCAGCCAUCAUUUAAAGAAAGCGUAAUAGCUCACUGGUCGAGUCGGCCUGCGCGGAAGAUGUAACGGGGCUAAACCAUGCACCGAAGCUGCGGCAGCGACACUUUAGUGUUGUUGGGUAGGGGAGCGUUCUGUAAGCCGUUGAAGGUGUCCUGUGAGGGGUGCUGGAGGUAUCAGAAGUGCGAAUGCUGACAUAAGUAACGAUAAAGCGGGUGAAAAGCCCGCUCGCCGGAAGACCAAGGGUUCCUGUCCAACGUUAAUCGGGGCAGGGUGAGUCGACCCCUAAGGCGAGGCCGAAAGGCGUAGUCGAUGGGAAACGGGUUAAUAUUCCCGUACUUGGUGUUACUGCGAAGGGGGGACGGAGAAGGCUAUGUUGGCCGGGCGACGGUAGUCCCGGUUUAAGCGUGUAGGCUGGUUUUCCAGGCAAAUCCGGAAAAUCAAGGCUGAGGCGUGAUGACGAGGCACCACGGUGCUGAAGCAACAAAUGCCCUGCUUCCAGGAAAAGCCUCUAAGCAUCAGGUAACAUCAAAUCGUACCCCAAACCGACACAGGUGGUCAGGUAGAGAAUACCAAGGCGCUUGAGAGAACUCGGGUGAAGGAACUAGGCAAAAUGGUGCCGUAACUUCGGGAGAAGGCACGCUGACACGUAGGUGAAGUGAUUUACUCAUGGAGCUGAAGUCAGUCGAAGAUACCAGCUGGCUGCAACUGUUUAUUAAAAACACAGCACUGUGCAAACACGAAAGUGGACGUAUACGGUGUGACGCCUGCCCGGUGCCGGAAGGUUAAUUGAUGGGGUCAGCGCAAGCGAAGCUCCUGAUCGAAGCCCCGGUAAACGGCGGCCGUAACUAUAACGGUCCUAAGGUAGCGAAAUUCCUUGUCGGGUAAGUUCCGACCUGCACGAAUGGCGUAAUGAUGGCCAGGCUGUCUCCACCCGAGACUCAGUGAAAUUGAACUCGCUGUGAAGAUGCAGUGUACCCGCGGCAAGACGGAAAGACCCCGUGAACCUUUACUAUAGCUUGACACUGAACAUUGAGCCUUGAUGUGUA
Molecule: ribosomal RNA, 1247 nt
Filed under: Salmonella enterica
Lineage: Bacteria; Pseudomonadati; Pseudomonadota; Gammaproteobacteria; Enterobacterales; Enterobacteriaceae
Description: partial 23S ribosomal RNA
Rfam family: Bacterial large subunit ribosomal RNA
Source: RNAcentral